CCCUUAGAUGUUCUGGGCCGCACGCGUGCUACACUGAGUGGAUCAGCGGGUCAGGUUGCGCGAAAGUGUUUCCUGAUCUUGAAAUCCGCUCGUGAUGGGGAUUGACGGUUGCAAUUUUCCGUCAUGAACGAGGAAUACCUUGUAAGCGCGGGUCAUCAUCCCGCGCUGAAUACGUCCCUGCCCUUUGUACACACCGCCCGUCGCUCCUACCGAUUGAGUGGUCCGGUGAGGCUUUGGGAUCUGAGCAAAAAGAGCGUUUCGCUCGUUUGGCUCGGAAAACUCAGUCGAACCUUAUCAUUUAGAGGAAGGAGAAGUCGUAACA
RNAcentral lists this ribosomal RNA (322 nucleotides) under uncultured eukaryote. RNAcentral describes it as "partial 18S ribosomal RNA". It matches the Rfam family "Eukaryotic small subunit ribosomal RNA", at positions 1470 to 1796 of the family's 1831-position model. The record is from RNAcentral.